RNAcentral lists this ribosomal RNA (268 nucleotides) under uncultured Oscillospiraceae bacterium. RNAcentral describes it as "partial 16S ribosomal RNA". It matches the Rfam family "Bacterial small subunit ribosomal RNA", at positions 74 to 339 of the family's 1533-position model. Lineage: Bacteria; Bacillati; Bacillota; Clostridia; Eubacteriales; Oscillospiraceae. The record is from RNAcentral.
UUCGUCCAAUUGAAGCAGAGGACAGUGGCGGACGGGUGAGUAACGCGUGAGGAACCUGCCUUUCAGAGGGGGACAACAGUUGGAAACAACUGCUAAUACCGCAUAACAUAUAGGUGUCGCAUGGCUUUUAUGCCAAAGAUUUAUCGCUGAAAGAUGGCCUCGCGUCUGAUUAGCUAGUUGGUGAGGUAACGGCCCACCAAGACGACGAUCAGUAGCCGGACUGAGAGGUUGAACGGCCACAUUGGGACUGAGAUACGGCCCAGACUCC